UCAGCUCCCUUUGCCACCAGGCUUAGAUCAAGUGUAGUAUCUGUUCUUCCAAGUUUGACCGCUUUGGACUCGACUACGUAUCGAUAUCUCAACGUUCACUCAUUUUUCGAAACUCGCGAGGCAUCACCUGGGACUUGUCUUUAGGGUGUGCUGAACAUUGUGUCCUUGGCCUUGCACUGCUGCCUUGAGAUGCGAAUUAUCU
RNAcentral lists this small nuclear RNA (202 nucleotides) under Cryoendolithus antarcticus. Its description in RNAcentral is "Rachicladosporium antarcticum U2 spliceosomal RNA". It matches the Rfam family "U2 spliceosomal RNA". Rfam says of the family: U2 is a small nuclear RNA (snRNA) component of the spliceosome (involved in pre-mRNA splicing). Complementary binding between U2 snRNA (in an area lying towards the 5' end but 3' to hairpin I) and the branchpoint sequence (BPS) of the intron results the bulging out of an unpaired adenosine, on the BPS, which initiates a nucleophilic attack at the intronic 5' splice site, thus starting the first of two transesterification reactions that mediate splicing. The record is from Rfam by way of RNAcentral. Lineage: Eukaryota; Fungi; Ascomycota; Dothideomycetes; Cladosporiales; Cladosporiaceae.